Long non-coding RNA from Amphibalanus amphitrite, 1090 nucleotides. RefSeq lists it as uncharacterized. The transcript is spliced from 2 exons. The record is from RefSeq and is a predicted model, not a curated record. NCBI's taxonomy places the organism in Eukaryota, Metazoa, Arthropoda, Thecostraca, Balanomorpha, Balanidae.
UUGACCGAAUGCUAAUUAUGUUAUCUGAUGUGCUAUUCAAAAUCAGGCCGUUCUCCGUCCGACUGUCGGAAGUGUUCAGUUUCGUGACUUUUCCAGUCCAUGACAUAACUAUCCAAGUCCCAGGUAGCUUGUAAACCAGUCCGGUUCCGUCCACUCAUCCAGCGCCACUCUGCUCCAGCGCUGUCGAGCUCCGGUGACGUGUACACCUGGGGCUGGAACGAGUCCGGCCAGCUCGGGCUCGGAGACGCGGUGAACGUGGCUGCCGAGCCGGCGCUGGUGGACGCGCUUCCCAGUGACGUCACCGUCACUCAGCUGGCCUGCGGCUUGCGACACACGCUGGCGCUGCUCGAGGACGGCUCGGUGAUCGGCUGGGGUUGGAACGGUCAUAGUCAGCUGGCCCUGCCGCCCUGUGACCGGUCACUGCCCCGGGCCCUGCCGCUGCCGGAGCGAGGCACCGUAGUCAGGGUAGCCGCCGGUGGCUGGAACUCCGCUCUGGUAACCCGGGAGGACAGCUGAUGAGUCUUCGGUGACCGGUGCAGUGAAGUAGCGUGCUUUGUAAAAUUGAAAGAUAUUUCGGGGUGCGCCUAACCGGGCAUGAUGGCGAGCCCAAGGCGAUAAGGCGAGCCCUUUUAUGGCGUGCGUCAUAAAUUCGAAGUAUCCGGUACUAAAGCUGAUUUUGCCAGCGUGUAUCGUUUUCAGAUCGGGUAUUUGGUCGUGAUCACAGCACCUUGCCUCUGCUAUGUGAUGUGGGGAUUUGGGAGGGCUUUGUCAUAAAAUGGUGGGGUAUGCAAUGAAAUGUAUUUUGUUUGCUUGAUAAGGUUACUUUUUGCAGUGUUUUCUUAAGCUUUUAGUUAUGGAAGGCUUAGCUUUUCGAAUUUCGAAAGGGUUAGCAUAGUGUAAAUGUACGCUUACCGUCGAAUGUGAUGCUUUGACGACAGAAGGUGCAAAUGUGUUCAUGUCAUUUGUUAUCAUUUUUCGGAAAAGAUUGGUUAUGCGCAUUCAGAGUGUUCUGUUUUAGGUAAGUUUCACUCAAUAUGCAUGAGAGUUCUCAAGAGAAGGGAUUUCUCGAAUAAAUGCUGUUUUUGUUGAG